Long non-coding RNA from Sinocyclocheilus anshuiensis, 437 nucleotides. RefSeq lists it as uncharacterized. The transcript has 3 exons. NCBI's taxonomy places the organism in Eukaryota, Metazoa, Chordata, Actinopteri, Cypriniformes, Cyprinidae. The record is from RefSeq and is a predicted model, not a curated record.
UAGUUUUGAUCGAACACAGCCGGAGCAUCACAGACACUGUGAGUGAAUUCAUCACUAAAUAAGAUCAACCAUGGCGAAAACAUCAAUUAAGAUUAAAAUAGCAGACAUGAGUGAUGAGAUGCAGCGGAAGGUUCUACAAUGUGCUCUUCUGGCUGUGAAUAUGUAUGAAGAUGGCUUGGACAUUGCUACCUACAUCAAGAAGGAAUUUGACAGAAGGCAUCAGCCCAACUGGCAUUGCAUUGUGAGGAACUGCAGUAGCCAUGUGACACACAAUGACAGCUGUUAUAUCUCCUUUGAUGUUGGCAAUAAACAUAUUGUGCUUUUCAAGACGAACUGAGCCACAGCAACAGUUCAAACACAUUUGGUUAAGGUGCCAAGAAAUUCAGGGUCUGCUUGUUUUUUUUUUAGUUGUGUGACAAUUUUUGUUUUUUUUUCCA